Molecule: small RNA, 167 nt
Filed under: Chrysemys picta bellii (western painted turtle)
Lineage: Eukaryota; Metazoa; Chordata; Testudines; Emydidae
Description: TUC338 (ENSCPBG00000011426.1)
Source: RNAcentral
UAGACAUCCCUAGUGACAACACUUUUAUUUUUAUUCCCAGAAGAGGCUCAGCCUGGAGAAUGAUGGGGUAAGCUUUCCCUACGCUGCCCUAUCAAUCUGCUUUAAUCCUGCCCUUGUGAGGGUGAGAGGGUUAUUCACUUUCAGUGCCCAUUCAAUCCUGGUCAUUU